CACAGCUCCCAGGAUAGCCCUUCCGCAGGCUCGGGAGGAAGGGAACCCCCAGCACCUAGAAAGCCUUGCUCCUUUGAGUUUACAGAGCGCUUAGGAAGCAGUUAGCCCAAAGUCCAGGAUAACUUUCCUCCCAGCCCUUGGGGACGGGUGCUGGUAAACUCCCGUGCUUCGGAGGAGGGAGCUGUCAGGGCCCUAACGCUGGAGCAACAGCAGCCCCUGGUCCUGGGGACUCCAUGUUGGCUUCCUGGAGCACACGGCCCGAAACUGCCUCUGAACGCGAUCCCUGAAGACUUCCGUCUUCCCCGCGAGGGUGGAAGAGAUGGAAGCUAUCUCCUAAUUCUCCGUCUUUCACACGGAUGAAGAAACAGAUAGCUAGAGAGGAGCAGUGAUUUGUUCAAGCUCUUGCAACUAUGGAGUGGACAGGGUGUGCUCAGGCCUGGGGUGUGUCACCCUCUGCUCUGUGGAGCUUCUUAGGCCUUCCCUGGAAGAAACAGCAUGGUUCCUGGGGACCUCUGUGUGACAGUAACCCGGAGUUCUUGCUUUCCCCUGGGUAUUUCUUUGGUGUUCCAGCUUUGGUUUAAAAAUAUAAUGUUUUUUGCAUUUACCUUAUUUUAGAGUUGUUUGGAUAUUAAACUCCUUCUUUGAUCACUGUCACUUGACAUUGGCUCCAACAAGAUGCUCAGCAUUUAACCCCGCAGCCAUGCUGCUGGGGCCCCCGAGGCAGCACAUCCAGUGUGAGAAGCUCAGCUAAUACAUUCUCAGGUGCUCAAAUCCCACCACCUCGUCCACAUUAGGUCGGGAGAGGCCUGUCCUCGGAGGGGAAAGGGGUCGCCAGGUGCCAGGCUCCCAGGCAGAAGCCCACAGACAGCCAGAGUGGAGGAGAGGCUGGCAGAAGAGGUGCACUCUUCCCAUGAGCAGCCCUGCGCUGUCACCCUGGCCAGGAGGGGUCUGGGGAAGAGAGAGGAAGCCCGUCCAGGGCCCUCUCCCGCGCUUGAAAGGCUCAGGUGGCUUUCUGGUUCUCCAAAGAGGUGGCCCAGGGCCAGGCUUGACUUCCUGCCUCCCCAGGCCAUGCAGCAGGUCGGGGGCUUAUCCACAGCAAGGGCUCAGGCAGAGGGUACAGGACUGGAAGGAGCUGAACCCAACCGGAAGUGAGGGGCCUUUUUCCCUCUCUGCUCUCUCUGUGCCUCUGUGCUGCCCUGUCGGAUCUGACUCGUGCCUCUGCCUCUCCGAAGGCUGCUGUUUUCCAACAGUGCUGAUGGCGGUGGUGAGAUUGGCGGAGAUCCGAGGUUCCCGCGUAUCAAGGAAGAUUUCCUAAAGGAGGGAAGACAGAGCUGAGUAGGGGUUCGUGGAGGGGCCUUGAGGUCCGGAGAGCGACCCAUCUGGUCUGGGUACUGUGGGAUCUCGAGUUGGGCCAAGCAAGCUCCGUGCGGCCUGCGGCCGCCCAGGCUUCACCCCCGCAGCCCCUCCUGAGCGUGCCCGCGCUUCCCUCCCGGCGCCGAGCCCCAGAUGCGCGCGUUCGUGCCAGCAAACUUUCGG
RNAcentral lists this long non-coding RNA (1536 nucleotides) under Heterocephalus glaber (naked mole-rat). Its description in RNAcentral is "lncRNA (ENSHGLG00100042255.1)". Lineage: Eukaryota; Metazoa; Chordata; Mammalia; Rodentia; Bathyergidae. The record is from RNAcentral.